Molecule: ribosomal RNA, 398 nt
Filed under: uncultured bacterium
Lineage: Bacteria
Description: partial 16S ribosomal RNA
Rfam family: Bacterial small subunit ribosomal RNA
Source: RNAcentral
CUACGUAGGGUGCGAGCGUUGUCCGGAAUUACUGGGCGUAAAGAGCUCGUAGGUGGUUUGUCGCGUCGUCUGUGAAAUUCCGGGGCUUAACUCCGGGCGUGCAGGCGAUACGGGCAUAACUUGAGUACUGUAGGGGAGACUGGAAUUCCUGGUGUAGCGGUGAAAUGCGCAGAUAUCAGGAGGAACACCGGUGGCGAAGGCGGGUCUCUGGGCAGUAAAUGACGCUGAGGAGCGAAAGCAUGGGUAGCGAACAGGAUUAGAUCCCCUGGUAGUCCAUGCCGUAAACGGUGGGCGCUAGGUGUAGGGGUCUUCCACGACUUCUGUGCCGUAGCUAACGCAUUAAGCGCCCCGCCUGGGGAGUACGGCCGCAAGGCUAAAACUCAAAUGAAUUGACGGGG